This 801-nucleotide ribosomal RNA is filed under the name uncultured bacterium. RNAcentral describes it as "bacterial SSU rRNA". It matches the Rfam family "Bacterial small subunit ribosomal RNA", at positions 83 to 879 of the family's 1533-position model. The record is from RNAcentral.
CUACUUGACCUAGCGGCGGACGGGUGAGUAAUGCUUAGGAAUCUGCCUAUUAGUGGGGGACAACAUCUCGAAAGGGAUGCUAAUACCGCAUACGUCCUACGGGAGAAAGCAGGGGACCUUCGGGCCUUGCGCUAAUAGAUGAGCCUAAGUCGGAUUAGCUAGUUGGUGGGGUAAAGGCCUACCAAGGCGACGAUCUGUAGCGGGUCUGAGAGGAUGAUCCGCCACACUGGGACUGAGACACGGCCCAGACUCCUACGGGAGGCAGCAGUGGGGAAUAUUGGACAAUGGGGGGAACCCUGAUCCAGCCAUGCCGCGUGUGUGAAGAAGGCCUUUUGGUUGUAAAGCACUUUAAGCGAGGAGGAGGCUACCGAGAUUAAUACUCUUGGAUAGUGGACGUUACUCGCAGAAUAAGCACCGGCUAACUCUGUGCCAGCAGCCGCGGUAAUACAGAGGGUGCAAGCGUUAAUCGGAUUUACUGAGCGUAAAGCGCGCGUAGGUGGCCAAUUAAGUCAAAUGUGAAAUCCCCGAGCUUAACUUGGGAAUUGCAUUCGAUACUGGUUGGCUAGAGUAUGGGAGAGGAUGGUAGAAUUCCAGGUGUAGCGGUGAAAUGCGUAGAGAUCUGGAGGAAUACCGAUGGCGAAGGCAGCCAUCUGGCCUAAUACUGACACUGAGGUGCGAAAGCAUGGGGAGCAAACAGGAUUAGAUACCCUGGUAGUCCAUGCCGUAAACGAUGUCUACUAGCCGUUGGGGCCUUUGAGGCUUUAGUGGCGCAGCUAACGCGAUAAGUAGACCGCCUGGGGA